This 1446-nucleotide ribosomal RNA is filed under the name uncultured organism. RNAcentral describes it as "partial small subunit ribosomal RNA". It matches the Rfam family "Bacterial small subunit ribosomal RNA". The record is from RNAcentral.
GACGAACGCUGGCGGCGUGCUUAACACAUGCAAGUCGAACGGAAAGGCCCUGCUUUUGUGGGGUGCUCGAGUGGCGAACGGGUGAGUAACACGUGAGUAACCUGCCCUUGACUUUGGGAUAACUUCAGGAAACUGGGGCUAAUACCGGAUAGGAGCUCCUGCUGCAUGGUGGGGGUUGGAAAGUUUCGGCGGUUGGGGAUGGACUCGCGGCUUAUCAGCUUGUUGGUGGGGUAGUGGCUUACCAAGGCUUUGACGGGUAGCCGGCCUGAGAGGGUGACCGGCCACAUUGGGACUGAGAUACGGCCCAGACUCCUACGGGAGGCAGCAGUGGGGAAUAUUGCACAAUGGGCGGAAGCCUGAUGCAGCAACGCCGCGUGCGGGAUGACGGCCUUCGGGUUGUAAACCGCUUUCGCCUGUGACGAAGCGUGAGUGACGGUAAUGGGUAAAGAAGCACCGGCUAACUACGUGCCAGCAGCCGCGGUGAUACGUAAGGUGCGAGCGUUGUCCGGAUUUAUUGGGCGUAAAGGGCUCGUAGGUGGUUGAUCGCGUCGGAAGUGUAAUCUUGGGGCUUAACCCUGAGCGUGCUUUCGAUACGGGUUGACUUGAGGAAGGUAGGGGAGAAUGGAAUUCCUGGUGGAGCGGUGGAAUGCGCAGAUAUCAGGAGGAACACCAGUGGCGAAGGCGGUUCUCUGGGCCUUUCCUGACGCUGAGGAGCGAAAAGCGUGGGGAGCGAACAGGCUUAGAUACCCUGGUAGUCCACGCUGUAAACGGUGGGUACUAGGUGUGGGGUCCAUUCCACGGGUUCCGUGCCGUAGCUAACGCUUUAAGUACCCCGCCUGGGGAGUACGGCCGCAAGGCUAAAACUCAAAGGAAUUGACGGGGCCCCGCACAAGCGGCGGAGCAUGCGGAUUAAUUCGAUGCAACGCGUAGAACCUUACCUGGGUUUGACAUGGAUCGGGAGUGCUCAGAGAUGGGUGUGCCUCUUUUGGGGUCGGUUCACAGGUGGUGCAUGGCUGUCGUCAGCUCGUGUCGUGAGAUGUUGGGUUAAGUCCCGCAACGAGCGCAACCCUUGUUCACUGUUGCCAGCACGUUAUGGUGGGGACUCAGUGGAGACCGCCGGGGUCAACUCGGAGGAAGGUGGGGAUGACGUCAAGUCAUCAUGCCCCUUAUGUCCAGGGCUUCACGCAUGCUACAAUGGCUGGUACAGAGAGUGGCGAGCCUGUGAGGGUGAGCGAAUCUCGGAAAGCCGGUCUCAGUUCGGAUUGGGGUCUGCAACUCGACCUCAUGAAGUCGGAGUCGCUAGUAAUCGCAGAUCAGCAACGCUGCGGUGAAUACGUUCCCGGGGCUUGUACACACCGCCCGUCAAGUCAUGAAAGUUGGUAACACCCGAAGCCGGUGGCCUAACCGUUGUGGGGGAGCCGUCGAAGGUGGGACUGGUGAUUAGGA